This 250-nucleotide ribosomal RNA is filed under the name uncultured bacterium. Its description in RNAcentral is "partial 16S ribosomal RNA". It matches the Rfam family "Bacterial small subunit ribosomal RNA", at positions 524 to 773 of the family's 1533-position model. The record is from RNAcentral.
GACGAACCGUGCAAACGUUAUUCGGAAUCACUGGGCUUAAAGGGUGCGUAGGCGGCCCUGUAGGUGGGAUGUGAAAUCCAACGGCUCAACCGUUGAACUGCGUCCCAAACCACAGGGCUCGAGGGAGACAGAGGUGAGCGGAACUCAAGGUGGAGCGGUGAAAUGCGUUGAUAUCUUGAGGAACACCGGAGGCGAAAGCGGCUCACUGGGUCUCAUCUGACGCUGAGGCACGAAAGCUAGGGGAGCGAAC